Molecule: ribosomal RNA, 514 nt
Filed under: Helvella lacunosa
Lineage: Eukaryota; Fungi; Ascomycota; Pezizomycetes; Pezizales; Helvellaceae
Description: LSU rRNA
Rfam family: Eukaryotic large subunit ribosomal RNA
Source: RNAcentral
AGCUCAAAUUUGAAAUCUGGGGCCCCCGGCCUCCGAGUUGUAAUUUGGAGAGGCAUCCUCCUGGGAAGAGCACCGGCCCAUGUUCCUUGGAACAGGACGUCACAGAGGGUGAGAAUCCCGUGCGAGGCCGGCUGCCCCAUCCCGUGUGAAGGGCCUUCGACGAGUCGAGUUGUUUGGGAAUGCAGCUCCAAGUGGGUGGUAAAUUUCAUCUAAGGCUAAAUACAGGCGGGAGACCGAUAGCGCACAAGUAGAGUGAUCGAAAGAUGAAAAGCACUUUGAAAAUAGAGUCAAAAAGUACGUGAAAUUGUUGAAAGGGAAGCGCUUGAGACCAGACUCAGGCCCAGGCAAACACCGCGCCCCUCGGGGCAGUGCAAUUGCCCGGGCCUGGGCCAGCACCAGUUGGCGUGGCGGGACAAAGGCGUGGGCAAUGUGGCUCCCCUCGGGGAGUGUUAUUAGGCCCGUGCUCAAUGCCGCCGACGUCGACUGAGGACCGCGCCCCGGUUAGGAUGCUGGC